UUUUCUUACAUGUAGAAAUAAUCAUGACUAUGUUUGAUUAAGGGAUUUCUGGUAGCCAUUGUACUGAAGGCAUGAAUUUUAUUACCUCAACUAAGGCGUACCAGAGGUCAAGUUUCAUCAAUUGGAUAUUGUGGACGGGGUCCAACCAAUAUCGUCCCAUGGAUUAACAAGUUGCAUUCCGAAGAAGACGGGAUGAGAUGGAAUCCACGAGAGACAGGGAACAAAGAGCUGCAGGUGGGACAAUCCGAGGUAAUGAAGCAUCGACAACAGAUAAACCCCGAAGCACCAAAUCCCCUUACUUGGCCUCGGCGCGAGAAAAGAGAUACCAAAGGAACCCGUGAAGACAAUACGUGUAAAGGUCGGAGGUGAUUGAAGAGACGGUCAUCGAGUACAAGAGCAAUAAAUGCACUGACGAAGUAGUUGAAGAGAUAAGAAGAAUCUGCUCAAAGUGAGACUCGGCUAAGUAUAUCAAGGGUGACAUCGGCAGCAUUCAUUAAGUAGACGACAUUGGGCAAAGGAACAUCAGGAGAAGGUACUCUAGGCUCGGCCCAGAAUCUCGGACCAAACUCUAUUCCUAACUCGAGAAGGACAUCAAGAAAUAUGCACCACAACUUACACUGUAACUUGAGUGUAUCAUCACUUACGGUUAUAAAUAGAGAGAUAUGUAGAGAGUUGAGGGGAAAGUAAUCAGUGAGGAAAGAGAGAACACCAAGAGCUUAAGAGGGAGACUUGAGAGUUUGUCAGA
This is a long non-coding RNA of Papaver somniferum (opium poppy), 745 nucleotides long. RefSeq lists it as uncharacterized. The record is from RefSeq and is a predicted model, not a curated record. NCBI's taxonomy places the organism in Eukaryota, Viridiplantae, Streptophyta, Magnoliopsida, Ranunculales, Papaveraceae. The transcript is spliced from 3 exons.